Molecule: ribosomal RNA, 253 nt
Filed under: uncultured bacterium
Lineage: Bacteria
Description: partial 16S ribosomal RNA
Rfam family: Bacterial small subunit ribosomal RNA
Source: RNAcentral
UACGUAGGGAGCAAGCGUUGUCCGGAUUUAUUGGGCGUAAAGAGCUCGUAGGCGGCUUAGAAAGUCAGGUGUGAAAACUCUGGCUUAACCCAGAGACGCCACUUGAUACUUCUAUGGCUUGAGUUCGGUAGGGGACCAUGGAAUUCCUGGUGUAGCGGUGAAAUGCGCAGAUAUCAGGAGGAACACCGAUGGCGAAGGCAGUGGUCUGGGCCGAUACUGACGCUGAGGAGCGAAAGCGUGGGGAGCAAACAGG